AGGAUUAACGCUGGCGGCGUGCCUAACACAUGCAAGUCGAACGAGGUAGCAAUACCUAGUGGCAGACGGGUGAGUAACGCGUGGUCAACCUACCGUUGAGUGGGGGAUAACUAGCCGAAAGGUUAGCUAAUACCGCAUACGUCUCCGAGGGGCAUCCCUUGGCGAUAAAAGGAGCAAUCCGCUCGAUGACGGGACCGCGUCCCAUUAGCUAGAUGGUGGGGUAACGGCCUACCAUGGCACCGAUGGGUAGCUGGUUUGAGAGAGCGACCAGCCACACUGGGACUGAGAAACGGCCCAGACUCCUACGGGAGGCAGCAGUGAGGAAUUUUCCGCAAUGGGCGCAAGCCUGACGGAGCGACGCCGCGUGUGGGAAGAAGGCCUUCGGGUCGUAACCGACUGUCGAAGGGGACGAUAAUGACGGUACCCUUGGAGGAAGCCCCGGCUAACGUACGCGUCAGCAGCCGC
RNAcentral lists this ribosomal RNA (465 nucleotides) under uncultured bacterium. RNAcentral's name for it is "SSU rRNA". It matches the Rfam family "Bacterial small subunit ribosomal RNA", at positions 26 to 518 of the family's 1533-position model. The record is from RNAcentral.